RNAcentral lists this long non-coding RNA (215 nucleotides) under Gossypium raimondii (Peruvian cotton). Its description in RNAcentral is "long non-coding RNA (GRAI_LNC001861)". The record is from RNAcentral. Lineage: Eukaryota; Viridiplantae; Streptophyta; Magnoliopsida; Malvales; Malvaceae.
CGCCGACGAACUUGAACCAUCAUGAGUCCUAUAAUGCUGCGGAUACGUGUCAGACGGGCCGGGCAGGCCGUACUGCGGCCGGGGGGAUCCAAACAGUUCAAAGUCAUAGGCGUAUUCGCCCUGUGCGAAGCUCGGAUAAUAUUCACCGCCCACCGAAUCCGGACGAUAGCCAUGUGAAUCCAUAUUUAACUGUGAUUGUCCGGGGUCUGGCCGGG